GAAACAUGUAUGGUUAUCACAAAUUUUUAAUUCGUUUACAAAGUUUGAACACAUGUAGCCUACACCGUUCCCAACUUUUCUUUACACUCGUAAAUUACUCGUGCUCUCUCUCUACAGUCAAUAGUGGGCUUAAGCAAGCAACGUUUUUAUCAACAUGGACGUCACCGAAAAUUGGUGUAUCUAAUUUUGGCCGCAUUUUACAUUAUAGCGCAAGUGUAAGGAAGCGAAAAACUUUAAAAAUGUUAUGUUUUGUCCUAUGUGUUGAAGAUUAACACAAACUGAUACAAACACAGUUUUCAAUCCAGUCCCUAUCGGCAGUCCGACGUCCGUGUUGACAAAAACGUCGCUUGAGUGUAUCUUGUUCAUGAAAUUCUAGCCUACGAGCAAGCUCUCAAGGUGAAAUGAGAGCCUGUACUGGGGGCAUACAAUUUUGAAUAUCUGCGUCUCGAAUCGGGACGCGAAAUUCUCAUUGGUUAGAUGCUAUAAUUUAUAUGCUUCCGCUGAACACUAUAUGCCAACUGCUAAAGCACUAUGCAUAAAAAAAACACAUUAAUUGAUCAAAUAGGUAUUGGCCAUCUUAAUCAUAUUACAACACGAAAUGUUCUGUUUUGAGAAAACCGUAUCUAAAACAUUUAAAUUUGUGCUUGAAUAUCUUAUAUUUUGAAAAAUAGUACAAACUGUACGGUCUAAAUUUAGUUCACACGAAAGUUGUAAACAACACCAUAUAAGGAUAAACAUUCCAUAUUUCGAAAAACGAGCGUUACGGGGUAGAUAUUCAAAAUUGUAUGUCAUCAGUGCAGGCUCUCAUUUCACCUUGAAAAUCUAAUAUCCCCACUACGUCAAUCGAGUAAACGCGAGACAUAAUGUCUUUUUGUUUUCACGAAUGCUUCCUUGAUCUUCACCUAUAUAAUGUUGCAAUUUAUGUCUUUACGUUUCUAAUUACAAUUUUUUUACAUUUUAUGAACAACACGCUUUUGUACGAGUUUGUUGCUUCUGACAUUCCCUUAAGUGUUCAUAGUAGUGAGUUUAACUGUAGCGAAACUAAUCAGUAUGGAUAUGGAGUAAUUCUUAUCAUUAUAUACAGAAAGUCUGGAUAUGAGGUAUUCUGCAAUCUGAUUGGUUCUCUACUGGCAGAAUUUUAGCUCAUACUGCUAGUAAAAAAAAACAAAAUGGCGGCUGAAAUUGAAUUUCCCUUAUUUCCGAUGUUUUGCGAACGAGAAAACUGCAAGUUGUUCGCUUUUUAUAGCCAUUAUAGGAUUAAAAAUACAACGAAAAACUCCCACAAAUUGUUUACAGGUAAGCAAAUAAAUUUUAAAAUUUUAAACGGUUAAAAAUAUCUAUUUUUGAAAAAAUAAUCGGCCGAAAGAGCGACGAUAAAAAACAUAAACAAAAUAGAAAACUAUUGAAAAUAUCCGAAAAGCAAAGUCUGCGAAUUCAGAACUUGUAUAUAUAUAAUAAAACAGUUAUUCCACUAACUCUCGUCAAAUAUGAGCGAUAACCGAUUGGGCGGUACGCGCUCCAUCGGCUAUCAGCUUAUAUUCGACUCGAAUUCGUACAAUAACUGUUAAUUAACGUUACAAUAUAAUAUUACAAUAAUAUAACGUUACAAAUGCCACAUUGAUACUUACCCUAUACCGUAACAGAUACGUAGACGACGUCUUUGCUACAGUUAAGAAAGACAAGACGCAGUGGCGUAGCCAGCCUGACAAUUUAGUCCCGCUAUGCAAAAUCAAUCUUAUUAUCAUUAUUCAUUUCUUUAGAAAUAGAUUGUUUUCGCAGUCAAUGAACACAAAAAUAUUUGCGUAGCGGGACUAAAUCGUCGGGCUAGCUACGCUAGUGAAGACUGACAACAUUUUACAUACUAUAAACAAUACUACACAAAAUGUAAAAUUCGCGAAAGAAGAAGAUAACAACCAACUUACUUUCCUUGACAUUUUGUUGACAAGAACUGAUGACGGCACGAUUAACACAUAGGUCUACCGUAAGAAAACGCACAUUGACCAAAUACUGAAUUUUAACAGCAACCACCCUACCCAACACAAAAUAACAGAGCUGUAUAAAAAGCUUAUUCAACCGAAUAGAUACGCACUGUAAGACAGAACAAGCUAAACAAACAGAACGCAAAUAUCUAUACUCGAAAAAAAACUACCCUAUAGGCAGGGGCGGCGCUACAGGGGGGUGUGUGGGGGAGGGAACACCCCCCACUCGUCAGCUAAUCGGCAAAUUGUUAUCUCAGUCGGCAAAACUGGAUUGGCUAAAGAUAACCACUGAAGAAACCAAAAUUGACCUCCUGAAUAAUUGAAUUCAAACCGAAUAUCACGAAUAGCAUGCAUCAAUGAAACCACACAUGCAGCAAUCCAAAUUUUUUCGAAUACAGUAUCUUCACUUCUGGCAGCUAGUCCAAAAACAUCAGCCUAGUCCCAGGCUCUCUCUCUAUUCGCUGCUU
RNAcentral lists this long non-coding RNA (2446 nucleotides) under Paramuricea clavata. Lineage: Eukaryota; Metazoa; Cnidaria; Anthozoa; Malacalcyonacea; Plexauridae. The record is from RNAcentral.